AUUGAACGCUGGCGGCAGGCUUAACACAUGCAAGUCGAGCGGGGUGAUGGUGCUUGCACUAUCACUUAGCGGCGGACGGGUGAGUAAUGCUUAGGAAUCUGCCUAUUAGUGGGGGACAACAUCUCGAAAGGGAUGCUAAUACCGCAUACGUCCUACGGGAGAAAGCAGGGGAUCACUUGUGACCUUGCGCUAAUAGAUGAGCCUAAGUCGGAUUAGCUAGUUGGUGGGGUAAAGGCCUACCAAGGCGACGAUCUGUAGCGGGUCUGAGAGGAUGAUCCGCCCAACUGGGACUGAGACACGGCCCAGACUCCUACGGGAGGCAGCAGUGGGGAAUAUUGGACAAUGGGGGGAACCCUGAUCCAGCCAUGCCGCGUGUGUGAAGAAGGCCUUAUGGUUGUAAGGCACCUUAAGCGAGGAGGAGGCUCUUUUGGUUAAUACCCAAGAUGAGUGGACGUUACUCGCAGAAUAAGCACCGGCUAACUCUGUGCCAGCCGCCGCCGUAA
RNAcentral lists this ribosomal RNA (503 nucleotides) under uncultured bacterium. Its description in RNAcentral is "partial 16S ribosomal RNA". It matches the Rfam family "Bacterial small subunit ribosomal RNA", at positions 30 to 523 of the family's 1533-position model. The record is from RNAcentral.